RNAcentral lists this ribosomal RNA (445 nucleotides) under uncultured bacterium. Its description in RNAcentral is "bacterial SSU rRNA". It matches the Rfam family "Bacterial small subunit ribosomal RNA", at positions 340 to 777 of the family's 1533-position model. The record is from RNAcentral.
UACGGGAGGCAGCAGUGGGGAAUAUUGCACAAUGGGCGCAAGCCUGAUGCAGCCAUGCCGCGUGUAUGAAAAAGGCCUUCGGGUUGUAAAGUACUUUCAGUCGUGAGGAAGGUGUUAAGGUUAAUAACCUUAGCAAUUGACGUUAGCGACAGAAGAAGCACCGGCUAACUCCGUGCCAGCAGCCGCGGUAAUACGGAGGGUGCGAGCGUUAAUCGGAAUUACUGGGCGUAAAGGGCACGCAGGCGGUUAAUUAAGUUGGAUGUGAAAUCCCCGGGCUUAACCUGGGAAUGGCAUUCAAGACUGGUUAGCUAGAGUCUUGUAGAGGGGGUAGAAUUCCAUGUGUAGCGGUGAAAUGCGUAGAGAUGUGGAGGAAUACCGGUGGCGAAGGCGGCCCCCUGGACAAAGACUGACGCUCAUGUGCGAAAGCGUGGGGAGCGAAACAGGG